UCAGGCCUAACACAUGCAAGUCGAACGAGAUUAUAGGGUAAGCUUGCUUACCUUAUAUGACAGUGGCGCACGGGUGCGUAACGCGUAUGCAAUCUACCUUAAUCAGGGGGAUAGCCUCUCGAAAGAGAGAUUAAUACCGCAUAACAUUAUGAUAUGGCAUCAUAUUAUAAUCAAACAUUUAUGGGAUUAAGAUGAGCAUGCGUGACAUUAGCUAGUUGGUGAGGUAACGGCUCACCAAGGCAACGAUGUCUAGGGGAUCUGAGAGGAUGACCCCCCACACUGGUACUGAGACACGGACCAGACUCCUACGGGAGGCAGCAGUAAGGAAUAUUGGUCAAUGGACGCAAGUCUGAACCAGCCAUGCCGCGUGCAGGAAGACGGCCCUAUGGGUUAAAGCUGCUUUUAUACGGGAAUAAACCUUCUUUCGUGAAAGAAGCUGAA
Molecule: ribosomal RNA, 441 nt
Filed under: uncultured bacterium
Lineage: Bacteria
Description: bacterial SSU rRNA
Rfam family: Bacterial small subunit ribosomal RNA
Source: RNAcentral